GAAUGUGAGGGCGAUCUGGCUAUGACAUCUGUCACCCCAUUGAUCGCCAGGGUUGAUUGGGCUGGGCUGGCUGGCUAGGUGAGUGUACCCUUCCUCUCUCCAUGAGUGUCCUUCCAGAAGAACGGCCUUCCCCCAAUAGAGACCAACCUGUCUUCCCGUCCCCUGCUAGACCCUCCAAAACAGGCUCUCAAGAAAUAAAGUCCUCCAACGUUGACUAGCUACUACUUCAGAUCCAACCCACUCUGUAGUG
RNAcentral lists this small nuclear RNA (250 nucleotides) under Erinaceus europaeus (western European hedgehog). RNAcentral's name for it is "7SK RNA". It matches the Rfam family "7SK RNA". From Rfam's summary of the family: 7SK was discovered as an abundant small nuclear RNA in the mid-70s but a possible function has only recently been suggested. Two independent studies have found that 7SK RNA binds the CDK9/cyclin T complex (known as elongation factor P-TEFb). The record is from Rfam by way of RNAcentral. Lineage: Eukaryota; Metazoa; Chordata; Mammalia; Eulipotyphla; Erinaceidae.